GGAUGCGAUCAUACUAGCACUAAAGCACCGUAUCCCAUCAGAACUCCGAAGUUAAGCGUGCUUGGGCGAGAGUAGUACUAGGAUGGGUGACCUCUUGGGAAGUCCUCAUGUUGCAUUCC
RNAcentral lists this ribosomal RNA (119 nucleotides) under Triticum dicoccoides. The record is from RNAcentral. Lineage: Eukaryota; Viridiplantae; Streptophyta; Magnoliopsida; Poales; Poaceae.